UUUUCUAUGGACAGCGGAGUGUGAUGGUUUCCAGAUGAUUCAAGCACAUUACAUUUAUUAUGCACUUUAUUUCUGUUCUUAUUACAUUGUGAUAUGUAAUGAAAUAAUUAUAUAACUCAUCAUAAUAUAGAAUCAGUGGGAGCCCUGAGCUUGUUUUCCUGCAGCUAGACGGUCCCAUCUGGGAGUGAUGAGAGACAGUGACAGAUCAACAGUCAUUAGUUAGAUUCUUAGAAGGAGUAUGCAAGCUAGAUGCCUCGCACACACAGUUCACAACAGGGUUUUCGCUCCUAUGAGAAUCUAACCCCGCCCCUGAUCUGACAGGAGGCGGAGCUUGGGCAGUAAUACAAGCGAUGGGGAGUGGCUGUAAAUGCCAAAAAGUUGUGCUCACACGCUUGCCGCUUACCUCUUUCUGUGUACUGGUAACUAACAGGCCACAGACCAAUACCGGUCUGUGGCCCGGGGCUGGGGACUCCUAAUACAGAGCACAUAAUAUGUAACAAUGUCCUAGUUGUUAAGUUGGGUGGUAGUCUCACAAGUGUUUGUUUUAUUAUGUGUCAUAGCCAAUAUGUAGUUUAAAAUAUCACUUCCUGUUAUCUAAUAUUCCAUCUGAUAGUUUCAAUAGUAACAGUGGCCAUUUCAAGGUAGUAAGAUUUAGGCAUGAUUUCCUUCUCCCAUAUAAGUUUCUGAAUGUUCUAAGUUCUUUUCAAACAAUAACAGAUUAUUUCUAGAAUCAGAAAACAUAAACUUUGUAAAAUAUAUGAGAAAAAUGUAUAUUGGCAAAUUAAAAAUGGAAAUGUGAAGACCUUUCCCAUUUAAGGAGAAGAAGAGUCAUGGAUGAUUUUUCUACUGAUGUGUUUAGAGACCUGAAGAUCCUCUGUAGUUUUGGCUUUCGAAUCUCUCCACCUGCUGUGUUUCAUGUACUUGGAGCACUUUUCUCAUUUCCAGUCUCAGACUGGAAGGAAGUUACCGUUGAACUACACCCCAGUGAAUACCUCAAUUCUCUGGGAAAUUGAAUUUUUACCUGGAUGGAGAGAGGCGGUCCAUGGAGACUGAUAAUGCAUGGCCCCAACCCUGUGCCCUAGCC
Molecule: long non-coding RNA, 1084 nt
Filed under: Macaca fascicularis (crab-eating macaque)
Lineage: Eukaryota; Metazoa; Chordata; Mammalia; Primates; Cercopithecidae
Description: lncRNA (ENSMFAG00000055339.1)
Source: RNAcentral